UACCAGCACCCCGAGUGGUCGGGACGAUUAUUGGGCCUAAAGCAUCCGUAGCCGGCCUUACAAGUCCUCCGUUAAAUCCAGCUGCUCAACAGAUGGGCCGCGGAGGAUACUACAGAGCUAGGAGGCAGGAGAGGCAAGCGGUACUCAGUGGGUAGGGGUAAAAUCCGUUGAUCCAUUGAAGACCACCAGUGGCGAAGGCGGCUUGCCAGAAUGCGCUCGACGGUGAGGGAUGAAAGCUGGGGGAGCAAACCGG
RNAcentral lists this ribosomal RNA (253 nucleotides) under uncultured bacterium. RNAcentral's name for it is "partial 16S ribosomal RNA". It matches the Rfam family "Archaeal small subunit ribosomal RNA", at positions 474 to 727 of the family's 1478-position model. The record is from RNAcentral.